UCAUUCAUUGGUUUCUUUCGCUUUAGUCUUCUUGGGCGAGAAGAUUUCAGAGUUUGGACUCAAUCCCGACUCAUGGUCUACAGCAUGUCAAGAAACAGAUAUUGUGAGCGAAUUGGCAGACAACACAAAAGCAAUCAUGGUAAAGCCAAUGCGUUGUUGCAUGGUAAAACCAUCUGUUUAUGCCCUCUGUUUGUGCCUUCUAAUUUUCUUUAUUUUCAACAAUUCCACAUUCAGUUUUAAAGAAAAUAGGAGGUGGUGAUGAAAUUCGAUGGAGAGGCUGUUUUAGGAAGCAUGGAGAGGCUGCAUUGUCAGAAGUAUACUGUUAUUAUGCUUUUUAGUCCUAAGUGACACUAAACAUGGGUUAGGAUUAUUGAAAAAUAAGCCUGGCUUAAGUAGUGUUAGACUAUAUUAGAAUUUAAGCCUGGGUUACAGUGUCCCGUGUAACAAACAUGGGUUAGGGAGCAGUCUUAAGAAAACAUAUAAAAGAAGUUUUUUAUUUUUAUUUUUUGGGAAAAUGCCCAUUUAGUACUAAUUUAAACCCCUCAUUCCUCAUUCCAAUGAUAAUCUUUUUCAUUAGCCCAUUUCAAUAUAAGGUAACCUCUUUUAUGCUCAAAUGCACAAAUCUUUACUAAAGUCUUAACAAACUAUAUUAUUUUAAGACUAUUUUGCCCUCACCCCUUAAACAUGCAUAGAGAGAGAAAAUGGAAGAGAGAAUAUUUGGCCGGAAUGUCACCGGACUCCAGUCACCGGCCGUCGGACUCUGGUCACCGGCCGCCGGACUACGGUCACCGGUUGCCG
Fragaria vesca subsp. vesca is the source of this 798-nucleotide RNA transcript. RefSeq lists it as uncharacterized. Lineage: Eukaryota; Viridiplantae; Streptophyta; Magnoliopsida; Rosales; Rosaceae. The record is from RefSeq and is a predicted model, not a curated record. The transcript is spliced from 2 exons.